UUGCUAUCUGCGAUAUGGAAGAUUCGAACCUGCCGCAGGUUCGGGUCGAACGCAGUGAGACAACGGAGCCGUUUACGGCGACGGCCCGUAGGGCGAGCGAAGCGAGUCAUCCUGCACGACCCACCA
Molecule: small RNA, 126 nt
Filed under: Salmonella enterica subsp. enterica serovar Infantis
Lineage: Bacteria; Pseudomonadati; Pseudomonadota; Gammaproteobacteria; Enterobacterales; Enterobacteriaceae
Also listed under: 72 other names
Description: RtT sRNA
Rfam family: RtT RNA
About the family: This family represents a bacterial cis-regulatory element known as RtT RNA.
Source: RNAcentral